CCGCACUGGUUUAGAAGCUGCUUCUCAUUCGCACACGAAACUUCUCAAAUCCGCACCGAUCUUUGUCUCUCUUAUCUUCUUCUUGAGCGGCGGCCCUCGGUGGCUGAUGGCGCGUGUGGCCCCCGGUGGCUUCUGGCUGGCGUGGGGGAUCGGCGGCGCACGGGCCCUUCGACCCGCUUCCGAUGCCGCUCCACUCCCCCGCGCUGCCUCGCAGCUCGGCAGCUCCUCCGCACCUCCCGUCGCACUCACAAGGGCGCUGUCCGGAAAUUCGCCCAAAUCGACCUCGACCCAGCCCAUCUGCCUCCUCUUCCAGGCUCUCCAGCUCCCCCCGCUCUGCUCGCCUCGGCGUGCAGCCGUGUUGGCUGCUGCUUGGUUUUUCAGCGGAAGGACACCAUGUCGGCCUCAGCAUCGUCGCUGCCGGCGGGCGAGGAGAACAAGCAAGAGGCGGCGCCCGUCAGGCACUGCAAGGGCAUCAACGACCUUAACAAGGUCAUGCUCCUCGAGCAAAGGGCGUCGUCGCCGCCGCCGCCACGGGCGACUGAGCCACCCCCAUCGUAAUCUCCAUGGGUGGUUCACAGGCAGCUGUGAUCUCUCAAGUGGAUCAUCCCCAGCCAGAUGUACCCGCUGGAGGUGAGGUCGGCGGGGAAGGGGAUGAGCGAGGCCAUCUCGCUGGCGCUCACCUUCGUGCAGACGCAGUCCUUCCUCAACGCGCUACUUGGCUCGGGCGAUGAAGGAAGGAAGGAGAUCGACGCGCGCCUCUGCUCGGCAGUUGUCGACGAGCAGGGAGAUGGCGGCGGUGUUGACUUGAUUGGCGGCGAGCUGGGAGGCGUCGUAGAUCUCGUGAAGCACGACACGAAGCACUUCGUGGAAUUGGAUUUGGGAGCUGAGAAUCAGUACAUUAGGCAAAGUACUAAACUACCCUUAAUUAUUUUUUUUAUUAAGACCUGCCGCAACCGGUUCCUCCCAAGCACCGUAAAAAAUCUCAAUAAAUAAAUGGUGUAUCAGAAAAUUAAAUUAUGCAAGUUGUGCGCAUGCACAGCUUAGCAGAUGUGUAUUAUCGUGUUAUACAAUAGCACGGAAUUGUGAUGGUAUAUUGGUAUAUAUAGCAUUUGAUUUGGCUGAGGUGAUACAAAAAUUGACCCUUGAACAAUAUAUUGUAAGAGGAGGGGGUUUAAGGGAACAAUAUCCCCUGCUGCUCUGCUUUGCCU
Long non-coding RNA from Sorghum bicolor (sorghum), 1208 nucleotides. RefSeq lists it as uncharacterized. Lineage: Eukaryota; Viridiplantae; Streptophyta; Magnoliopsida; Poales; Poaceae. The transcript is spliced from 2 exons. The record is from RefSeq and is a predicted model, not a curated record.